UGGGGAAUAUUGCGCAAUGGGCGAAAGCCUGACGCAGCAACGCCGCGUGAGUGAUGAAGGCCUUCGGGUUGUAAAGCUCUGUCGGGCGGAACGAACCGGUGAGAUGUGAAUAAUGUCUUACCUUGACGGUACCGCCAAAGGAAGCACCGGCUAACUCCGUGCCAGCAGCCGCGGUAAUACGGAGGGUGCAAGCGUUGCUCGGAAUUAUUGGGCGUAAAGCGCACGCAGGCGGCAGGGUAAGUCAGUUGUGAAACUCCUGAGCUUAACUUGGGAACUGCAGCUGAUACUGCCAUGCUUGAGUACGGAAGAGGGGAGCGGAAUUCCCAGUGUAGAGGUGAAAUUCGUAGAUAUUGGGAGGAACACCGGUGGCGAAAGCGGCUCCCUGGUCCGAUACUGACGCUCAUGUGCGAAAGCGUGGGGAGCAAACAG
RNAcentral lists this ribosomal RNA (429 nucleotides) under uncultured bacterium. RNAcentral's name for it is "bacterial SSU rRNA". It matches the Rfam family "Bacterial small subunit ribosomal RNA", at positions 355 to 775 of the family's 1533-position model. The record is from RNAcentral.